Molecule: ribosomal RNA, 426 nt
Filed under: uncultured bacterium
Lineage: Bacteria
Description: bacterial SSU rRNA
Rfam family: Bacterial small subunit ribosomal RNA
Source: RNAcentral
GUGAGGAAUUUUCCGCAAUGGGCGAAAGCCUGACGGAGCAAUGCCGCGUGAAGGAUGAAGGCCUAUGGGUUGUAAACUUCUUUUCUCAGAAAAGAAUUAUGACGGUAUCUGAGGAAUAAGCAUCGGCUAACUCUGUGCCAGCAGCCGCGGUAAGACAGAGGAUGCAAGCGUUAUCCGGAAUGAUUGGGCGUAAAGCGUCUGUAGGUUGUUUAAAAAGUAUUCUGUCAAAGAUUAGGGCUUAACCCUAGAUAGGCAGAAUAAACUUUUAAGCUAGAGUUUGGUAGGGGCAGAGGGAAUUCCCGGUGGAGCGGUGAAAUGCGUAGGUAUCGAGAGGAACACCAAAGGCGAAGGCACUCUGCUGGGCCAAUACUAACACUGAGAGACGAAAGCGAGGGGAGCAAAUGGGAUUAGAUACCCGGGUAGUCC